UAUAAGGUCAGGAUAG
RNAcentral lists this transfer RNA (16 nucleotides) under Anthoxanthum alpinum. RNAcentral's name for it is "partial tRNA-Phe". The record is from RNAcentral. RNAcentral also lists the same sequence under 1 other name. Lineage: Eukaryota; Viridiplantae; Streptophyta; Magnoliopsida; Poales; Poaceae.